GAGGGUGUAGCUCAGUGGUAAGAGUGUGUGCUUAAUAUGCAUAAGGUCCUGGGUUUGAUCCCCAGUACCUCCA
This 73-nucleotide transfer RNA is filed under the name Camelus bactrianus (Bactrian camel). It matches the Rfam family "tRNA". From Rfam's summary of the family: Transfer RNA (tRNA) molecules are approximately 80 nucleotides in length. Their secondary structure includes four short double-helical elements and three loops (D, anti-codon, and T loops). Lineage: Eukaryota; Metazoa; Chordata; Mammalia; Artiodactyla; Camelidae. The record is from Rfam by way of RNAcentral. RNAcentral also lists the same sequence under 2 other names.